RNAcentral lists this ribosomal RNA (548 nucleotides) under uncultured bacterium. Its description in RNAcentral is "partial 16S ribosomal RNA". It matches the Rfam family "Bacterial small subunit ribosomal RNA", at positions 355 to 895 of the family's 1533-position model. The record is from RNAcentral.
UGGGGAAUAUUGGACAAUGGGCGCAAGCCUGAUCCAGCAAUGCCGCGUGUGUGAAGAAGGCCUUCGGGUUGUAAAGCACUUUUAUCAGGAGCGAAACGCUGUCGGCUAAUACCCGGCGGAACUGACGGUACCUGAGGAAUAGGCACCGGCUAACUUCGUGCCAGCAGCCGCGGUAAUACGAAGGGUGCAAGCGUUAAUCGGAAUUACUGGGCGUAAAGCGUGCGUAGGCGGUUUCUUAAGUCUGCUGUGAAAUCCCCGGGCUCAACCUGGGAAUGGCAGUGGAUACUGGGAGGCUAGAGUGUGUCAGAGGGUGGUGGAAUUCCCGGUGUAGCGGUGAAAUGCGUAGAGAUCGGGAGGAACAUCAGUGGCGAAGGCGGCCACCUGGGACAACACUGACGCUGAGGCACGAAAGCGUGGGGAGCAAACAGGAUUAGAUACCCUGGUAGUCCACGCCCUAAACGAUGCGAACUGGAUGUUGUCUCAACUCGGAGAUCAGUGUCGAAGCUAACGCGUUAAGUUCGCCGCCUGGGGAGUACGGUCGCAAGACU